This 467-nucleotide ribosomal RNA is filed under the name uncultured bacterium. RNAcentral describes it as "partial 16S ribosomal RNA". It matches the Rfam family "Bacterial small subunit ribosomal RNA", at positions 28 to 507 of the family's 1533-position model. The record is from RNAcentral.
GAUGAACGCUGGCGGCGUGCUUAACACAUGCAAGUCGAACGGAAAGGCCCAAGCUUGCUUGGGUACUCGAGUGGCGAACGGGUGAGUAACACGUGGGUGAUCUGCCCUGCACUUCGGGAUAAGCCUGGGAAACUGGGUCUAAUACCGGAUAGGACGAUGGUUUGGAUGCCAUUGUGGAAAGUUUUUUCGGUGUGGGAUGAGCUCGCGGCCUAUCAGCUUGUUGGUGGGGUAAUGGCCUACCAAGGCGUCGACGGGUAGCCGGCCUGAGAGGGUGUACGGCCACAUUGGGACUGAGAUACGGCCCAGACUCCUACGGGAGGCAGCAGUGGGGAAUAUUGCACAAUGGGCGCAAGCCUGAUGCAGCGACGCCGCGUGGGGGAUGACGGCCUUCGGGUUGUAAACUCCUUUCGCUAGGGACGAAGCGUUUUUGUGACGGGACCUGAGAAGAAGCACCGGCUAACUACGUG